RNAcentral lists this ribosomal RNA (465 nucleotides) under uncultured bacterium. RNAcentral describes it as "bacterial SSU rRNA". It matches the Rfam family "Bacterial small subunit ribosomal RNA", at positions 338 to 795 of the family's 1533-position model. The record is from RNAcentral.
CCUACGGGUGGCUGCAGUAGGGAAUCUUCCGCAAUGGACGAAAGUCUGACGGAGCAACGCCGCGUGGGCGAAGAAGGUCUUCGGAUCGUAAAGCUCUGUUGUUAGGGAAGAACAAGUACGGGAGGAAAUGACCGUACCUUGACGGUACCUAACGAGGAAGCCACGGCUAACUACGUGCCAGCAGCCGCGGUAAUACGUAGGUGGCAAGCGUUGUCCGAAAUUAUUGGGCGUAAAGCGCGCGCAGGCGGUCUUUUAAGUCUGAUGUGAAAUCUUGCGGCUCAACCGCAAGCGGUCAUUGGAAACUGGGAGACUUGAGUGCAGAAGAGGAAAGCGGAAUUCCACGUGUAGCGGUGAAAUGCGUAGAGAUCGGGAAGAACACCAGUGGCGAAGGCGGCCUGCUGGGCUUUAACUGACGCUGAGGCACGAAAGCGUGGGUAGCAAACAGGAUUAGAUACCCCGGUAGUC